AGUGAACGCUGGCGGCAUGUCUAACACAUGCAAGUCGAACGGCAGCACAGUAAGCGCUUGCUCUUACGGGUGGCGAGUGGCGGACGGGUGAGGAAUACAUCGGAAUCUACUUUUUCGUGGGGGAUAACGUAGGGACACUUACGCUAAUACCGCAUACGACCUACGGGUGAAAGCAGGGGAUCUUCGCACCUUGCGCGACUGUUUGAGCCGAUGUCGGAUUAGCUAGUUGGUGUGGUAAAGGCACACCAAGGCGACGAUGCGUAGCGGGCCUGAGAGGAUGAUCGGCCACACUGGAACUGAGACACGGUCCAGACUCCUACGGGAGGCAGCAGUGGGGAAUAUUGGACAAUGGGCGAAAGCCUGACCCAGCCAUGCCGCGUGAGUGAUGAAGGCCUUCGGAUUGUAAAGCCCUUUUGUUGGGAAAGAAAAAAAGCGGGUUAAUACAUCGCUGUUCUGACGGUACCCAAAGAAUAAGCACCGGCUAACUACGUG
RNAcentral lists this ribosomal RNA (492 nucleotides) under uncultured bacterium. RNAcentral's name for it is "partial 16S ribosomal RNA". It matches the Rfam family "Bacterial small subunit ribosomal RNA", at positions 29 to 507 of the family's 1533-position model. The record is from RNAcentral.